This 896-nucleotide long non-coding RNA is filed under the name Gallus gallus (chicken). Its description in RNAcentral is "lncRNA (ENSGALG00010003197.1)". Lineage: Eukaryota; Metazoa; Chordata; Aves; Galliformes; Phasianidae. The record is from RNAcentral.
GAUCUUUGUCUACCUGUGGCCUCCCAAGGGGCACAUGAAGCUGCCUAAGAGGGAAGUACUCAUCCAGAUGCAAGGUGGACAAAAGCAAUGGCACAGGUCUUCAGGCUGCCCUGCUGAGGUUUCCCAAGUAUCUCCAGGAGGGCCAGGAUACAUGAGUUCUUGCAAAUCCUUUCAAGCAAGUCUACGUUUGGUAUGGUUUUGCUUGUACCUGAUUCUGGUGAAUAACAGUAAAAGCUGGGGAAUGUGUGAAGAGGAUCUGAUGUUGCACUCUGAAGGCAGAACUAUGAAGAGAGAGUUUCAAGUAUCCAGCUUUUUUCACAGUGCUGUGACUAACUCUCCAUUUUAAAAAGCUUAUCUGGAUGUUGCCAAGGACACUUCUACUUCCUGGAUUGCUUUGCCUUUGGUGGAACAGGACGGAGUAGCUACGCUGCAUCAUUCAGGCAGAACAUGGUAUAGCUAAAAGCCAGUAUUGGUAGUUCUGCUCUUCCAAACGUUAAAAUGUAGAAAGGUGCUACAUUUUACAGAAAUAAAGGGGUAAAUGAAUUGGGGGGAAAAAAAAGAAAAACUUUCAUGCAUAAUUACAUAGAAAUUCUAUGUGUAAAAAGAAGCAUGAAUUGACCAUUCUAUUGACCUCCAGUAGAAUUUUCUGUUAGCUAAGAUCUAUGUAUUAAAGCCAAAGCCCAUCCCAGAUUCAUCCAUCAGUCCUGCUUGCGGAGUUUUACUGUAAUGAUUCAUUCAGGAUUUCAACUUUUGGAGAUGACUACUUAGUACUUUUGGCUUAGAUUUUUACUGCUUGUAAAGCUUGGUGUAUAGGCUUAUCAUUUCAGAAAUAACAUGAACUAGGUUAUGAGAUCAUUGUGAAAGAUUCUUCAUUAACUGUCAUACAACGCUCAUGG